AUUUCGCUAUUUUUCAACUUAACGUUUGAUUGUUGUCAAGCUUUUUUGUUAAUUAAUGUAAUAAUUAAAUCAAUUUUUAGUCUUUUCUUCAUAUUUUAAUUAUUCUGAUCACUCUGUUCACCCAUUAAUUUCAUAAUCUAGUUCAAUUUUCAUUUGUUUGUGUCUAAUAGUCAAGUGGUCAUCUUUACUUUCUCAAUGGCACUUUGACCGUUUCUUUCCAGAUUAAGUUAUAGUAAAACAACAGUUAAGGCCCGGGACUCUGCUUUAAGUAGUGUACAAAUUAAAUGGAUUUAAGAACAACUCUAAAGUGUUGAGUAAAGCGGAUUGACCAUCAAUAUCAACGGCGUUUGGAUGAACAAGUGAAUGGGAAGAAAGACAUUGAAAGUGAAACGCAGUUUAACCAUUAAGAGCCAUUAACAGAAACAAAUUUUACAUGUUGAACAGUUUGUUAUAGAAAGGAUUGGAAACAAGAAUUGGGUCAAUGGCAGGUUUAAUAUUUCAAGUGAUUAGAUUGAGAACAAGUUGUAAAUUGUUCUAAUAUUUAACCCAAUCACUGACCUCAAAGGCUGGUCCAAGUCACAUUUAUCGGUCAGAAAAGAGAGAAUGUUAAACAUACAAAAAGGAAAACAAGAAAACAAGAUUUAUCAGACAAGUACAAUUAAUCAUUUAUAUAUACAUACAUAAAUGAUAAUGAGGUGAUUGAAUUGAUUGCAAUGAUUUAAACAAAUUAGAAAUGCGAG
Molecule: long non-coding RNA, 740 nt
Organism: Tetranychus urticae (two-spotted spider mite)
Lineage: Eukaryota; Metazoa; Arthropoda; Arachnida; Trombidiformes; Tetranychidae
Source: RefSeq, a predicted model, not a curated record